RNAcentral lists this ribosomal RNA (1303 nucleotides) under Salmonella enterica. Its description in RNAcentral is "partial 23S ribosomal RNA". It matches the Rfam family "Bacterial large subunit ribosomal RNA", at positions 1648 to 2925 of the family's 2925-position model. Lineage: Bacteria; Pseudomonadati; Pseudomonadota; Gammaproteobacteria; Enterobacterales; Enterobacteriaceae. The record is from RNAcentral.
CCCAAACCGACACAGGUGGUCAGGUAGAGAAUACCAAGGCGCUUGAGAGAACUCGGGUGAAGGAACUAGGCAAAAUGGUGCCGUAACUUCGGGAGAAGGCACGCUGACACGUAGGUGAAGUGAUUUACUCAUGGAGCUGAAGUCAGUCGAAGAUACCAGCUGGCUGCAACUGUUUAUUAAAAACACAGCACUGUGCAAACACGAAAGUGGACGUAUACGGUGUGACGCCUGCCCGGUGCCGGAAGGUUAAUUGAUGGGGUCAGCGCAAGCGAAGCUCCUGAUCGAAGCCCCGGUAAACGGCGGCCGUAACUAUAACGGUCCUAAGGUAGCGAAAUUCCUUGUCGGGUAAGUUCCGACCUGCACGAAUGGCGUAAUGAUGGCCAGGCUGUCUCCACCCGAGACUCAGUGAAAUUGAACUCGCUGUGAAGAUGCAGUGUACCCGCGGCAAGACGGAAAGACCCCGUGAACCUUUACUAUAGCUUGACACUGAACAUUGAGCCUUGAUGUGUAGGAUAGGUGGGAGGCUUUGAAGUGUGGACGCCAGUCUGCAUGGAGCCGACCUUGAAAUACCACCCUUUAAUGUUUGAUGUUCUAACGUGGACCCGUGAUCCGGGUUGCGGACAGUGUCUGGUGGGUAGUUUGACUGGGGCGGUCUCCUCCUAAAGAGUAACGGAGGAGCACGAAGGUUGGCUAAUCCUGGUCGGACAUCAGGAGGUUAGUGCAAUGGCAUAAGCCAGCUUGACUGCGAGCGUGACGGCGCGAGCAGGUGCGAAAGCAGGUCAUAGUGAUCCGGUGGUUCUGAAUGGAAGGGCCAUCGCUCAACGGAUAAAAGGUACUCCGGGGAUAACAGGCUGAUACCGCCCAAGAGUUCAUAUCGACGGCGGUGUUUGGCACCUCGAUGUCGGCUCAUCACAUCCUGGGGCUGAAGUAGGUCCCAAGGGUAUGGCUGUUCGCCAUUUAAAGUGGUACGCGAGCUGGGUUUAGAACGUCGUGAGACAGUUCGGUCCCUAUCUGCCGUGGGCGCUGGAGAACUGAGGGGGGCUGCUCCUAGUACGAGAGGACCGGAGUGGACGCAUCACUGGUGUUCGGGUUGUCAUGCCAAUGGCACUGCCCGGUAGCUAAAUGCGGAAGAGAUAAGUGCUGAAAGCAUCUAAGCACGAAACUUGCCCCGAGAUGAGUUCUCCCUGAGACUUUAAGUCUCCUGAAGGAACGUUGAAGACGACGACGUUGAUAGGCCGGGUGUGUAAGCGCAGCGAUGCGUUGAGCUAACCGGUACUAAUGAACCGUGAGGCUUAACCUUACA